Molecule: RNA transcript, 3376 nt
Organism: Quercus lobata
Lineage: Eukaryota; Viridiplantae; Streptophyta; Magnoliopsida; Fagales; Fagaceae
Gene name: putative disease resistance protein At1g58400
Exons: 4
Source: RefSeq, a predicted model, not a curated record
UCUGUGCACUAUUUACCGAGUACUUCACCGGCCCCAAAUUUUCCUAGCUCCUACAAAGGAGAAGAAAGAGCAUCAUUAAAAUUGAAAUGCUGUUGGCGUUUUCACCAAGGAGAGGUAACUAUAAUUCAGCUUCAAAAUGAAGAGGUUUGUGGAGGGAGUCAGAGCUUUUUUAUCCACAAAAUUUGGGAAGGAACAAGGCCAGCCUGAUCUGGAAGACACGACCCAUUAUUAUUCAAGUACAGAAAUACAGCGCUGCUGCGGAACCCACCGCCUUGGAGAUGUCUUUGAGGAGUCGGAUUCGGAUGUAGUUAUUGGACGUGAAGAUGAAGUAAAAGAGCUUGUAUCUCGACUGCUCGAUGACAAUGACGAAAGUCUCCGUGUGAUUUCAUUAAUCGGCGAUGAAGCACUUGGCAAGACCGCUUUGGCAAGGAAUGUCUUUAACAGACUAGAUAUUCGGCAGCAUUUCCCAAGGCGAGCCUGGAUCCAUGUUUCCGGAGAUCUUGAAUAUAAAGCUCUCUUGCUCAUCAUAUUAAAACAGCUUCCAAUAUGUAGCUUGAAGAACUCAGAGCUUAUGAGCGAGGAAGAAAUACGUGAUAGGCUUUUCUUAAUUUUAGCGGAGCACAGGUUUCUGAUAGUGUUGGAUGAUCUCUGCACAGUAGAUGUUUGGCUCAAGCUUGUCCGUGCCUUUGCAGAUGCCUUUAACGGAAGUAGAGUCAUUCUCACUACUCGAGACUUAAAUGUUGCAAAGCAAAUUGACCCGUGGGGUUUUCCACUUGAGCUAAGCCCAUUAACUGAGGAGAGGAGUUGGUCAUUGUUCUUGAAGAAGGUAGGCAGACCAGAAUAUCGUAAAGAACUAAACAACCUCAGGGGAGAUAUUUGGAGAAUAUGUGACGGUUUGCCUCUAGCAAUCGUUCUACUGGGAGGGGUUUUGUCAGCUCUAGAAUUUAAGGACUGGUCAAGGGUGAUUGGGCUUGCUGAACAACGAAGAGGAAGCCAAUCCCCUCUUGAAAAUAUCGUUGAUUUUGGCUAUGAUCAACUUCCAGAUUUUUUAAAGCCCUGUUUCCUAUAUCUGGCUCUCUUUCCUAAAGCCUAUGAAAUCCCCAUACGGAGGCUGUUGCAGUUGUGGCUUGCCGAGGGAUUUGUUCAUCAAUUCAUACCUCAUGAGAGAAUUCCUGAAGAUGAGGCAAAAAGAUAUUUGGAAGAGCUAGUGUGUAGAAACAUGAUUGAAAUAGCAAAAUGGAAAUCAGAUGGAAGCCCCAAAACGUGUCGAAUGCCAACUUAUCUCUAUAAUGAUUUCUUGCCAAAAGCCAAUGAUAAAGGAUUUCUUCAUGUCCACCAUUGCAAGAAAGAUUUUACAUCUGCAGAUUCACCUGAGUCUUAUAUUCCAAGGCUUGCAGAUCAAUUUGGCAGCAUAUCUACUUCAGAAUCUCAUAUUCAAUGUCCAUCUUCCUACCUUUCUUUCGACCCUAGAAAAGGAUACAAAUCCAACAAAGAUAUUGGUAAGUUUCUCAACACAAUAAUCAUUACAAGUUUUGUCACGUUGAAGGUGCUUGACCUAGAGGGUGUCUACAAACCUUUGCUACCUAAGAAACUCGGUAAGUUUCAGAAUUUAAGGUACCUAGGCUUACGAUGGACUGGCCUUGACACAUGUCCAGAGUCUGUUGGGGAUCUACCAUGUUUGGAGACUUUAGAUUUGAAAUGUACAAAUGUAACCAGUUUGCCAAGUUCCAUUUGGAAGGCAAAGAAGCUCAGACAUCUCUAUAUGGAAGAGAUGUCCAUUGAGAAGCCACCAAAAAAGUCUUCACCUAACCUUCUGACAUUAAUGGAGCUCCAUAUUGGUGCUAAUUGCCCCUAUAGAUAUGGACUGAACAAGUUCACUAGCCUUAGGAAAUUGGGGCUGACAUGCGAUUCACAAUCAGCGAAGCAAACAGCCGAGUGCAUCUCAAACCUUGGCAACCUUCAAACCUUAAGGUUGAAAGCAAGAGACCCGUUUGGUCAACCUGUAGAGCUCGUGCUGGCGCCUAUGAAGGAACAUCAGUCUCUCUCAAACUUAUAUUUAUUUGGAGAGAUAAAGAUGAAUGACAUGGAGAACUUUCCACGAAACCUCAGAACUCUUACACUGUCGAUGUCAGGACUAGAAAUAGAUCCAAUGCCGAAGCUAGGGAUGCUGCCUCAGCUGAACACCCUCAGGCUUUUUGCUCGCUCUUAUGUAGGGUGGAAAAUGACUUGUCCUUCUGCCCACUUUCCUAAGCUUCGUGUCUUGAAAAUGUGGAAUCUAGAGCGACUAGAGCAGUGGGAGGUGGAGGAAGGUGCAAUGCCCGAACUUGUAGAGUUGGAAAUUAGAUGUUGCGAAAAACUUAAAAAGUUAGUUAAAUUAGAGGAGCUGGAUUCCUUGAAGGAGUUGAUUUUAACAAACAUGCCGCAGAAAUUUGUAGAAGAUAUUAGAACAAGGAUGGGCACAGGCAUAUUACUCACGAACAAGUGGGAAUUUUCUGAUUUACAUGUUAAGUAUGAUACAUAUACAAGUAAAGAAGAAACAGGAAUGGAAGACACUGGAUCAUAAGGCAAAAUGAUUCAGGUGUUCAACUAGGAUUAAAGCUUAUGGAGGCUGGAUUCCAGCGCUGGAGUACUCUUGGACAUGAUGGAGUCUCUGGAGUGCAAGAACACGACCGUCACUCAAACCUUUAACCUGCUAUUGUUGAUGGAUGGUUGCUAAUUAAAAUGCGCUUCCUGAGACUCUCAGAGUGAUCGACCUGGAUUUUCCUGAGAUUGUUUCUGAAAUUACUAGAAUGAGCGGUGGAAGUCAUUUGGGUCUUGUGCACCAAACUUACAAAUGUUUUCAAUUUGGAUUGUAAGUUUGCAAUUUGGAUCCUUAGCCAAGUAGCUGCCUCUUUGGGACAUAAGCGGAAUUUGAGUGUUUUUGAACAAGUACAUACUGAAAGGAGAAAUAGAUUGGAGCAUCAACAACUUAAUGAUCUUGUGUAUGUUCAUUAUAACUGCUAGCUUAAAGAUAGGCAUAUAGAUCUUAUUCAAUUAUUCAAAUACUACUCUUGCUUUCUUUUAUUUUAAUAUGUGGUUGGUUACUAAUUAUUCAAAUGUUCAUCUUAUGGUAUAGCGACAAAAAUACGUUCAAUUUUGGUCCUAUUGAUUAUGUGAGUAUUGAUAGAACAUAAUUUUGAGUAGUGGAAGAAGAGGAACCUCCACUUCUUGAUUAUGAGAAGUUAGAGAAUGCAUUAUACAAGGAGAGAGUUUAUCCAAUUGAAGAAGUGUCUAGCCAUGCACAAGGAGAUUAGUAUAUAUUAAAUUUUGUGAAUUCUUUGCCUAGUUACAUAUUUUUAAUAGAUUGUUAUGAUUUAUGAGAAAUGAUUAUUAGAAU